Molecule: ribosomal RNA, 492 nt
Filed under: uncultured bacterium
Lineage: Bacteria
Description: partial 16S ribosomal RNA
Rfam family: Bacterial small subunit ribosomal RNA
Source: RNAcentral
AGUGAACGCUGGCGGUAUGCCUAACACAUGCAAGUCGAACGGCAGCACAGUAAGAGCUUGCUCUUACGGGUGGCGAGUGGCGGACGGGUGAGGUAUACAUCGGAAUCUACUUUUUCGUGGGGGAUAACGUAGGGAAGCUUACUCUAAUACCGCAUACGACCUACGGGUGAAAGCAGUGGAUCUUUUGACCUUUCGCGAUUGAAUGAGCCGAUGUCGGAUUAGCUAGUUGGCGGGGUAAAGGCCCACCAAGGCGACGAUCCGUAGCUGGUCUGAGAGGAUGGUCAGCCACACUGGAACUGAGACACGGUCCAGACUCCUACGGGAGGCAGCAGUGGGGAAUAUUGGACAAUGGGCGCAAGCCUGAUCCAGCCAUACCGCGUGGGUGAAGAAGGCCUUCGGGUUGUAAAGCCCUUUUGUUGGGAAAGAAAAGCAGCAGGUUAAUACCCCGCUGUUCUGACGGUACCCAAAGAAUAAGCACCGGCUAACUUCGUG